CAGCAGCCGCGGUAAUACGAAGGGUGCAAGCGUUAAUCGGAAUUACUGGGCGUAAAGCGUGCGCAGGCGGUUUGUUAAGACAGAUGUGAAAUCCCCGGGCUCAACCUGGGAACUGCAUUUGUGACUGGCAAGCUAGAGUAUGGCAGAGGGGGGUGGAAUUCCGCGUGUAGCAGUGAAAUGCGUAGAUAUGCGGAGGAACACCGAUGGCGAAGGCAGCCCCCUGGGCCAAUACUGACGCUCAUGCACGAAAGCGUGGGGAGCAAACAGGAUUAGAUACCCGCGUAGUCCCUGUCUCUUAUAC
This 301-nucleotide ribosomal RNA is filed under the name uncultured bacterium. RNAcentral describes it as "partial 16S ribosomal RNA". It matches the Rfam family "Bacterial small subunit ribosomal RNA", at positions 509 to 807 of the family's 1533-position model. The record is from RNAcentral.